UACACGAGCGGCGAACGGGUGAGUAACACGUGAGCAACCUGCCCCUGACUCUGGGAUAAGCGGUGGAAACGCCGUCUAAUACCGGAUACGACCGGCCACCUCAUGGUGGACGGUGGAAAGUUUUAUCGGUCAGGGAUGGGCUCGCGGCCUAUCAGCUAGUUGGUGGGGUAAAGGCCUACCAAGGCGAUUACGGGUAGCCGGCCUGAGAGGGCGACCGGCCACACUGGGACUGAGACACGGCCCAGACUCCUGCGGGAGGCAGCAGUGGGGAAUAUUGCGCAAUGGGCGAAAGCCUGACGCAGCGACGCCGCGUGGGGGAUGACGGCCUUCGGGUUGUAAACCUCUUUUACCACCAACGCAGGCUCCACGUUCUCGUGGGGUUGACGGUAGGUGGGGAAUAAGGACCGGCUAACUACGUGCCAGCAGCCGCGGUAAUACGUAGGGUCCGAGCGUUGUCCGGAAUUAUUGGGCGUAAAGAGCUCGUAGGCGGCGUGUCGCGUCUGCUGUGAAAGACCGGGGCUUAACUCCGGUUCUGCAGUGGAUACGGGCAUGCUAGAGGUAGGUAGGGGAGACUGGAAUUCCUGGUGUAGCGGUGAAAUGCGCAGAUAUCAGGAGGAACACCGGUGGCGAAGGCGGGUCUCUGGGCCUUACCUGACGCUGAGGAGCGAAAGCAUGGGGAGCGAACAGGAUUAGAUACCCUGGUAGUCCAUGCCGUAAACGUUGGGCGCUAGG
This 732-nucleotide ribosomal RNA is filed under the name Nocardiopsis sp. EGI80345. RNAcentral describes it as "bacterial SSU rRNA". It matches the Rfam family "Bacterial small subunit ribosomal RNA", at positions 88 to 820 of the family's 1533-position model. The record is from RNAcentral. Lineage: Bacteria; Bacillati; Actinomycetota; Actinomycetes; Streptosporangiales; Nocardiopsidaceae.